GAAUUCGCCCUUAGAGUUUGAUCCUGGCUCAGGAUGAACGCUAGCGGCAGGCCUAACACAUGCAAGUCGAGGGGUAACAUAGUAGCUUGCUACUGAUGACGACCGGCGCACGGGUGCGCACCGCGUAUGGAACCUACCUUUUACAGGGGAAUAGCCUUUGGAAACGAAGAUUAAUGCCCCAUAGUAUCAUUAUGCAGCAUUGCAUUUUGAUUAAAGGCUUCGGCCGGUGAAAGAUGGCCAUGCGUCCCAUUAGUUUGUUGGUAAGGUAACGGCUUACCAAGACUACGAUGGGUAGGGGCCCUGAGAGGGGGAUCCCCCACACUGGUACUGAGACACGGACCAGACUCCUACGGGAGGCAGCAGUGAGGAAUAUUGGACAAUGGAGGAGACUCUGAUCCAGCCAUGCCGCGUGCAGGAAGAAUGCCCUAUGGGUAGUAAACUGCUUUUAUACGGGAAGAAAAAGAGCUACGUGUAGCUUACUGACGGUACCGUAAGAAUAAGGACCGGCUAACUCCGUGCCAGCAGCCGCGGUAAUAAGGGCG
This 542-nucleotide ribosomal RNA is filed under the name uncultured Maribacter sp. RNAcentral's name for it is "bacterial SSU rRNA". It matches the Rfam family "Bacterial small subunit ribosomal RNA", at positions 1 to 531 of the family's 1533-position model. Lineage: Bacteria; Pseudomonadati; Bacteroidota; Flavobacteriia; Flavobacteriales; Flavobacteriaceae. The record is from RNAcentral.